UGGCCUACGGGAGGCAGCAGUGAGGAAUAUUGGUCAAUGGCCGCAGGGCUGAACCAGCCAAGUCGCGUGAGGGAUGACGGUCCUAUGGAUUGUAAACCUCUUUUGUCAGGGAGCAAUUGAGUCCACGUGUGGGCUUAGCGAGAGUACCUGAAGAAAAAGCAUCGGCUAACUACGUGCCAGCAGCCGCGGUAAUACGUAGGUGGCAAGCGUUGUCCGGAAUUACUGGGUGUAAAGGGAGCGCAGGCGGGAAGCCAAGUCAGCUGUGAAAACUACGGGCUUAACUUGUAGACUGCAGUUGAAACUGG
Molecule: ribosomal RNA, 305 nt
Filed under: uncultured bacterium
Lineage: Bacteria
Description: bacterial SSU rRNA
Rfam family: Bacterial small subunit ribosomal RNA
Source: RNAcentral